Molecule: long non-coding RNA, 162 nt
Organism: Perca flavescens (yellow perch)
Lineage: Eukaryota; Metazoa; Chordata; Actinopteri; Perciformes; Percidae
Exons: 3
Source: RefSeq, a predicted model, not a curated record
GUCAGCCAUGGGGAGCAAACAGAGAAACAUUUGCCAUUUGGCCAUGGUCUAUUUUCUCUUGAGUUCAACUUCACCUGCUGCAGAUGGUCAGAUCAGAUUAACUGGGUCUGGGUCUACUCUGUGCUCUGGAAGAGUUGAAAUAUAUUACAACAACACCUGGGG